UACGAGAGGCCCAAACGUUAUUCGGAAUUACUGGGCUUAAAGAGUUCGUAGGCGGCGCAGAAAGUAGGGUGUGAAAGCCCUCGGCUCAACCGAGGAAUUGCGCUCUAAACUACUGUGCUUGAGGGACCUAGAGGUGAGCGGAACUGAUGGUGGAGCGGUGAAAUGCGUUGAUAUAUGGAAGAACACCAAUAACGGCGAAGGCAGUUAACUAUUCUGUUACUGACGUUGAGGCACGAAAGCGUGGGGAGCAAAACGG
Molecule: ribosomal RNA, 256 nt
Filed under: uncultured bacterium
Lineage: Bacteria
Description: partial 16S ribosomal RNA
Rfam family: Bacterial small subunit ribosomal RNA
Source: RNAcentral